Oncorhynchus masou masou (cherry salmon) is the source of this 1824-nucleotide long non-coding RNA. RefSeq lists it as uncharacterized. The record is from RefSeq and is a predicted model, not a curated record. The transcript has 3 exons. Lineage: Eukaryota; Metazoa; Chordata; Actinopteri; Salmoniformes; Salmonidae.
GGAACAUCCGGUUGCUGGGGACUGGGCGAGGCUAGGGUUACCACUGCCACAAAGACCUGAGCCCUAGGACCAUGCCCCAGGACUACCUGACAUGAUGACUCCUUGCUGUCCCCAGUCCACCUGGCUGUGCUGCUACUCCAGUUUCAACUGUUCUACCUUAUUAUUAUUCGACCAUGCUGGACCUGAGCCCUAGGACCAUGCCCCACGACUACCUGACAUGAUGACUCCUUGCUGUCCCCAGUCCACCUGGCCGUGCUGCUGCUCCAGUUUCAACUGUUCUGCCUUAUUUUUAUUUGACCAUGCUGGUCAUUUAUGAACAUUUGAACAUCUUGGCCAUGUUCUGUUAUAAUCUCUACCCGGCACAGCCAGAAGAGGACUGGCCACCCCACAUAGCCUGGUUCCUCUCUAGGUUUCUUCCUAGGUUUUGGCCCUUCUAGGGAGUUUUUCCUAACCACCGUGCUUCUACACCUGCAUUGCUUGCUGUUUGGGGUUUUAGGCUGGGUUUCUGUACAGCACUUUGAGAUAUCAGCUGAUGUACGAAGGGCUAUAUAAAUAAAUUUGAUUUGAUUUGAUUUGAUCAAGCCUACUGUAGUGUCGUCUGCAAACUUGAUGAUUGGGUUGGAGGUGUGCAUGGCCACGCAGUCAUGUGUGAACACUGAGUACAGGAGAGUGCUCAGAACGCACCAUUGUGGGGCCCCAGUGUUGAGGAUCAGCGGGGUGGAGAUGUUGUUACCUACCCUCACCACCUGGGGGCGGCCCGUCAGGAAGUCCAGGACCCAGUUGCACAGGGCGGGGUCGAGACCCUGGGUCUUGAGCUUAAUGACGAGUUUGGAGGGUAGUAUGGUGUUAAAUGCUGAGCUGUAGUCGACGAACAGCAUUCUUACAUAGGUAUUCCUCUUGUCCAGAUGGGUUAGGGCAGUGUGCAGUGUGAUUGCGAUUGGGUCGUCUGUGGACCUAUUGGAGCGGUAAGCAAAUUGCAGUGGGUCUAGGGUGUCAGGUAGGAUGGAGGUGAUAUGGUCCUUGACUAGUCUCUCAAAGCACUUCAUGAUGACGGAAGUGAGUGCUACUUAUUUUCCACCAUAAUUUGCAAAUAAAUUCAUAAAAAAUCCGACAAUGUGAUUUUCUAGUUGAUAUGUGAUUUUCUAGUUGAUUUUCUAGGUCAACUAUGACCUGUAGUUGAGGUGUACCUAUGAUGAAAAUUACAGAACUCUCAUCUUUUUAAGUGGGAGAACUUGCACAAUUGGUGGCUGACUAAAUACUUUUUUGCACCACUGUAUUUUGGUUAGGUCAGGGUGUGACGUGGGUGAUCUAUGUGUUUUUUUAACUGUCUAGGGUUUUUUGUAGGUUUAUGGGGUUGUCUACCAUCUAGGUGUUUAUGUAUGUCUAUGGUUGCCUAGAUUGGUUCUCAAUUAGACGCAGCUGUUUAUUGUUGUCUCUGAUUGGGAACCAUAUUUAGGCAGCCAUCUUCUUUGGGUAUUUCGUGGGUUAUUGUCUAUGUUAUGUUGCAUGUUUGCUCUCAGUUUUGAUCGCGGCCACGGUCGUCUUGUUGUUAUUUUGUUUGUUUGUCUAGUGUACUUCGUGUUUUUUGUCUUUCAUUAAAAAGAUGUAUUCCCAUCACGCUGCGCUUUGGUCUCCUCACUACAACGAUCGUGACACCCGGUCUCUAUUUUUCUCACUCGCCUGGUUUUGACCCUUGCCUGUCCUGUCUCCGAGCCCGCCUGCCCGACUACUCUGCCUGUCCUGACCCUGAGCCAACCUGCCAUCCUGUACCUUUGCCCCUAUACUCUGGUUUAUCAACCCCUGCCUGCCUUGACCUGUCGUUGU